RNAcentral lists this ribosomal RNA (253 nucleotides) under uncultured bacterium. RNAcentral describes it as "partial 16S ribosomal RNA". It matches the Rfam family "Bacterial small subunit ribosomal RNA", at positions 524 to 776 of the family's 1533-position model. The record is from RNAcentral.
UACGUAGGGUGCAAGCGUUGUCCGGAAUUAUUGGGCGUAAAGAGCUCGUAGGCGGUCUGUCGCGUCGGCUGUGAAAACUCGGGGCUCAACUCCGAGCUUGCAGUCGAUACGGGCAGGCUAGAGUUCGGCAGGGGAGACUGGAAUUCCUGGUGUAGCGGUGAAAUGCGCAGAUAUCUGGAGGAACACCGGUGGCGAAGGCGGCAUCCUGGACCAACACUGACGCUGAGGAGCGAAAGCCAGGGGAGCAAACGGG